GAUGAACGCUAGCGAUAGGCUUAACACAUGCAAGUCGAGGGGCAGCAUGGUCUUAGCUUGCUAAGACUGAUGGCGACCGGCGCACGGGUGCGUAACGCGUAUGCAACUUGCCUCACAGAGGGGGAUAACCCGUCGAAAGACGGACUAAUACCGCGUACACUUGGGAUAGGGCAUCCUGACCCAAGGAAAUGAAAUUCGCUGUGAGAUAGGCAUGCGUCCCAUUAGCUAGUUGGUGAGGUAACGGCUCACCAAGGCGACGAUGGGUAGGGGAACUGAGAGGUUGAACCCCCACGCUGGUACUGAGACACGGACCAGACUCCUACGGGAGGCAGCAGUGAGGAAUAUUGGUCAAUGGGCGAGAGCCUGAACCAGCCAAGUCGCGUGAAGGAUGACUGUCUUAUGGAUUGUAAACUUCUUUUAUACGGGAAUAACAAGAGUCACGUGUGGCUCCCUGCAUGUACCGUAUGAAUAAGCAUCGGCUAACUCCGUG
RNAcentral lists this ribosomal RNA (490 nucleotides) under uncultured bacterium. RNAcentral describes it as "partial 16S ribosomal RNA". It matches the Rfam family "Bacterial small subunit ribosomal RNA", at positions 28 to 507 of the family's 1533-position model. The record is from RNAcentral.